This 660-nucleotide ribosomal RNA is filed under the name uncultured Actinomycetes bacterium. RNAcentral describes it as "SSU rRNA". It matches the Rfam family "Bacterial small subunit ribosomal RNA", at positions 245 to 915 of the family's 1533-position model. The record is from RNAcentral. Lineage: Bacteria; Bacillati; Actinomycetota; Actinomycetes.
CUUGUUGGUGAGGUAACGGCUCACCAAGGCUUCGACGGGUAGCCGGCCUGAGAGGGCGACCGGCCACACUGGGACUGAGAUACGGCCCAGACUCCUACGGGAGGCAGCAGUGGGGAAUAUUGCACAAUGGGCGCAAGCCUGAUGCAGCAACGCCGCGUGCGGGAUGACGGCCUUCGGGUUGUAAACCGCUUUCAGUUCCGACGAAGCGCAAGUGACGGUAGGAACAGAAGAAGGACCGGCCAACUACGUGCCAGCAGCCGCGGUGAUACGUAGGGUCCGAGCGUUGUCCGGAAUUAUUGGGCGUAAAGGGCUUGUAGGCGGUUUGUCACGUCGAAAGUGAAAACUCAGGGCUUAACCCUGAGCCUGCUUCCGAUACGGGCAAACUAGAGGGAUGCAGGGGAGAAUGGAAUUCCUGGUGGAGCGGUGGAAUGCGCAGAUAUCAGGAGGAACACCGGUGGCGAAGGCGGUUCUCUGGGCAUUUCCUGACGCUGAGAAGCGAAAGCGUGGGGAGCAAACAGGCUUAGAUACCCUGGUAGUCCACGCCGUAAACGGUGGGCACUAGGUGUGGGGAACAUUCCACGUUCUCCGUGCCGAAGCUAACGCAUUAAGUGCCCCGCCUGGGGAGUACGGCCGCAAGGCUAAAACUCAAAGGAAUUGACG